This 253-nucleotide ribosomal RNA is filed under the name uncultured bacterium. RNAcentral describes it as "partial 16S ribosomal RNA". It matches the Rfam family "Bacterial small subunit ribosomal RNA", at positions 524 to 776 of the family's 1533-position model. The record is from RNAcentral.
UACGGGGGGGGCAAGCGUUGUUCGGAAUUACUGGGCGUAAAGGGCUCGUAGGCGGCCAACUAAGUCGGAUGUGAAAUCCCUCGGCUUAACCGGGGAACUGCGUCUGAUACUGGAUGGCUUGAGUUUGGGAGAGGGAUGCGGAAUUCCAGGUGUAGCGGUGAAAUGCGUAGAUAUCAGGAGGAACACCGAUGGCGAAGGCAGGUCUCUGGGCUGACACUGACGCUCAUGCACGAAAGCGUGGGGAGCAAACAGG